CACGUAGGGCGCAAGCGUUGUCCGGAAUUAUUGGGCGUAAAGAGCUCGUAGGCGGUCCGUCACGUCCGCUGUGAAAACCCAGGGCUCAACCCUGGGCUUGCAGUGGAUACGGGCAGACUAGAGGUAGGUAGGGGAGAAUGGAAUUCCCGGUGUAGCGGUGAAAUGCGCAGAUAUCGGGAGGAACACCGGUGGCGAAGGCGGCUCUCUGGACCGAUACUGACGCUGAGGCGCGAAAGCGUGGGGAGCAAACAGG
This 253-nucleotide ribosomal RNA is filed under the name uncultured bacterium. RNAcentral describes it as "partial 16S ribosomal RNA". It matches the Rfam family "Bacterial small subunit ribosomal RNA", at positions 524 to 776 of the family's 1533-position model. The record is from RNAcentral.